RNAcentral lists this ribosomal RNA (253 nucleotides) under uncultured bacterium. RNAcentral's name for it is "partial 16S ribosomal RNA". It matches the Rfam family "Bacterial small subunit ribosomal RNA", at positions 524 to 776 of the family's 1533-position model. The record is from RNAcentral.
UACGUAGGGUGCGAGCGUUGUCCGGAAUUAUUGGGCGUAAAGGGCUCGUAGGCGGACUGUUAAGUCAGUGGUGAAAGCUCCAUGCCUAACAUGGAAAUUGCCAUUGAUACUGACGGUCUUGAGUACAUUUGAAGUGGGCGGAAUGUGUCAUGUAGCGGUGAAAUGCUUAGAUAUGACACAGAACACCGAUUGCGUAGGCAGCUCACUAAACUGUAACUGACGCUGAGGCACGAAAGCGUGGGGAGCAAACAGG